AUACAAUCGAGACCGCAAUUGAAGAUUAUAUAGAAAACCACCUUUUAAAAGAAAAUGAGCUACUUAAUUAAUGUGUACAAGAUAUGCCUUCGGAAGAUAUCCACAAUGAGAAAGAUUACAACAGAAGAGAGUCUAACGUCACAGUCAUC
Long non-coding RNA from Stegodyphus dumicola, 149 nucleotides. The record is from RefSeq and is a predicted model, not a curated record. NCBI's taxonomy places the organism in Eukaryota, Metazoa, Arthropoda, Arachnida, Araneae, Eresidae.